Ribosomal RNA from Macaca nemestrina (pig-tailed macaque), 117 nucleotides. NCBI's taxonomy places the organism in Eukaryota, Metazoa, Chordata, Mammalia, Primates, Cercopithecidae. The record is from Ensembl.
GUGUACGGCCAUUCCACACUCAACAUGCCUUAUCUCGUCAAAACUUGGAAGCUAACCAGGGUUGGACCUGGUGAGUACUUGGAUGGGAGAUUAGAAAUAUACAGGUACCUUUUCUCC